Molecule: unclassified non-coding RNA, 240 nt
Filed under: soil metagenome
Description: partial contains 5.8S ribosomal RNA, internal transcribed spacer 2, and large subunit ribosomal RNA
Source: RNAcentral
AACGCACGAGACCUGCGGACCUGCGGAGGGAUCAUUACAAAUCUUUUAUCUUUUUUUUUGUAAAAGGAGAGAGGAAGAAAAGGGGGAAAGAGAGAGAGAGUAUUAAGAAGAGGGAAUAAUUUUGAGUUAUUCUCCCUUUUGGUACUACUUGUCCCUUUUUUUCUUUAAAUCUAUUACAAAAAAAAGAUAAUAUAAGCACGAGAUCAUUCUUUUUGAAACGAAAAGAAUGAUCUUGAUGUU